CGGACGGGUGAGUAAUACAUAGGAAUCUACCCAAUAGUGGGGGAUAACUUGGAGAAAUCCAUGCUAAUACCGCAUAUGUCCUACGGGGCAAAGCAGGGGACCCUCGGGCCUUGCGCUAGUGGAUGAGCCUAUGUCGGAUUAGCUAGUUGGUAGGGUAAAGGCCUACCAAGGCAACGAUCCGUAGCUGGUCUGGGAGGAUGAUCAGCCACACUGGGACUGAGACACGGCCCAG
Molecule: ribosomal RNA, 232 nt
Filed under: uncultured bacterium
Lineage: Bacteria
Description: partial 16S ribosomal RNA
Rfam family: Bacterial small subunit ribosomal RNA
Source: RNAcentral